RNAcentral lists this ribosomal RNA (1611 nucleotides) under Nilssonia nigricans. RNAcentral's name for it is "16S ribosomal RNA". It matches the Rfam family "Bacterial large subunit ribosomal RNA", at positions 366 to 2830 of the family's 2925-position model. Lineage: Eukaryota; Metazoa; Chordata; Testudines; Trionychidae. The record is from RNAcentral.
GCAAAACACUUAGCUCAAUCAACUAAUAUUAAACCCAAAAAACUAAAUAUUCCACCAAACCAAAUUUAAAACAUUUUAACUUCUUUAAUCCAAGUAUGGGCGACAGAAAAGAUGAUACGAAGCAAUAUAAACAGUACCGCAAGGGAAAAGUGAAAAAAUUGAAACUUAAAAAAGCAAAAAAAAGCAAAGAUUAACCCUUGUACCUCUCGCAUUAUGAUUUAGCCAGUAACACCUAAGCAAAGAGAACUGAAGUCUAAAACCCCGAAACUAAGUGAGCUACUUAAAGGCGGCCAACAACCAAUCAAGCUAUCAUCAUCUCUGUGGCAAAAGAGUGAUAAGACCUUCAAGUAGCGGUGACAAGCCUAACGAACCUAGUGAUAGCUGGUUGCUCAAUAAAAGAGUAUAAGCUCUACCCUAAAUACACAAUAAAACAAUUAAAAAGUUAUAAGAAAAAUUUAGGAGCUAUUCAAUUAAGGUACAGCUUAAUUGAAACAGAACACAAUCUAAAAUGAAGGAUAAGACUAAACAAAACAUCAUCGUAGGCCUUAAAGCAGCCACCACUAAAGAAAACGUCAAAGCCCUACCAUUACAAAUACAAACAACAUUCCACUCCUCAAACAACACUGAGCCAUUCUACAAAAAUAGAAGAAAUCAUGCUAAAAUGAGUAACAAGAAGAUAAAACUUCUCUACUACGCCAGCUUAAAUCAGAAUAGACAAACUACUGAUUAUUAACAACCUCUAUAAAAACAACAAUACUAAACAAAACAUAUAAUAUAAACUGUUAACCCAACACAGGAGCGUAAAACAAGAAAGAUUAAAAUCUGUAAAAGGAACUAGGCAAAUAAAGGGCCCGACUGUUUACCAAAAACAUAGCCCCUAGCAACAACAAGUAUUAGGGGUGAUGCCUGCCCAGUGACACUGUUCAACGGCCGCGGUAUCCUAACCGUGCAAAGGUAGCGUAAUCACUUGUCCUUUAAAUAAGGACCAGUAUGAAAGGCUAAACGAGGCCCUAUCUGUCUCUUACAGAUAAUCAGUGAAAUUGAUCCUCUCGUGCAAAAGCGAGAAUACAAAUAUAAGACGAGAAGACCCUGUGGAACUUCAAAUAAAGCAUCAAAUUAACCAAACCAUACCCCUAUAAAGGGACAUAAAUCACUUUAACACCUGAUACAUAUUUUUGGUUGGGGCGACCUCGGAGUAAAACAAAACCUCCGAAAAAAGAACACACUCCUUACCUAGAAAAACAACCCAAAGUGCCCACUGCAAAAUGAUCCAAUCCAUUUGAUCAACGAACCAAGCUACCCCAGGGAUAACAGCGCAAUACCGUCACAGAGUCCCUAUCGACGACGGAGUUUACGACCUCGAUGUUGGAUCAGGACAUCCUAAUGGUGCAACAGCUAUUAAGGGUUCGUUUGUUCAACGAUUAAAGUCCUACGUGAUCUGAGUUCAGACCGGAGCAAUCCAGGUCGGUUUCUAUCUAUAACAAAAUCUUUUCCAGUACGAAAGGACAGAAAAGAUAAGGCCCAUACAUAAAAACAAGCCUUAAACUUACAUUAGUGAACUCAACUAAACUAAUAAUAAGAACACCAUCACUAUCCCAAAAUCCAGGGUUU